CACGGGGAUAAAUACUGCAGAGCAGCUACUGUGAAAGGCUUCCUUCUACCCUGUCUGUGAAGUAAUGACGUUCUGCUGUUGCCGCUUUACAGGAGAAGGCACAAUCAAUGGGUCUCUUGACAUGGUGAGAGACUGAAGUCGGGUGAGUGACUAGAGAAAGUUGCUGAAUCACAUCACUGAGCAGAGUAUAUUCCUCAAAUGGGCUUUCUCUAAUGACGGAAAAAAAAUAAACAAAAAAGAAAGCAGCAGCAAACCUGGCACUGCUCUAUUACUUUGGCUGAGGGUGUUGGAAGAUGAAAUUCUGCUCAACUUCCAGGCAAGCAAAUCUCCAUCCUGCAAUGUGCAGAAAAGCUGCUGAAAUGCUGGGACAGAGAGACUGGAGGAAACACAAAGAAAUUCCUGACUCCCUCUAGAACACAGAGUGUGAACACAAAGAAGAGGGAGGAGGAAGAUGGACUCUGCCUCCUCAGUUGCACCAGCACUGCAAUUUCCGACA
Long non-coding RNA from Ficedula albicollis (Collared flycatcher), 496 nucleotides. RefSeq lists it as uncharacterized. The transcript has 5 exons. The record is from RefSeq and is a predicted model, not a curated record. Lineage: Eukaryota; Metazoa; Chordata; Aves; Passeriformes; Muscicapidae.